This is a long non-coding RNA of Sinocyclocheilus rhinocerous, 791 nucleotides long. RefSeq lists it as uncharacterized. NCBI's taxonomy places the organism in Eukaryota, Metazoa, Chordata, Actinopteri, Cypriniformes, Cyprinidae. The record is from RefSeq and is a predicted model, not a curated record. The transcript is spliced from 6 exons.
GUUCGCCCAGUUCACCUGAUGCGCUUACACCUUCAAACAGUUACGUCAGAUCACAUACUCCAGCAGCUCUUUAAAGAAGCCAUCUCUUGUAAAAGUCUAGCUCUCUCUCUCUCUCUCUCUCUGCUAGAAUUAACAGGGAACUUCAACUCGACUCUCCCAGUGCUGAUCUUGAAGAAGCUGUCAGGGAGGCUGAACAAGUCCUUCAAAGGUUCAACCCUUCACAGCUGAAAGGGAAGACCAAAGGAAGGACUGUAAUGGGAUUUGAAUUUGAGCAUUUUGUGCGAAGACCAAAAUGCAACUUAUGAGAAGACCAAAAGCUGCAAAGGCAAACACUUCCAAUGCUGAAGACCAAAAACGCAAAGAAAAUCAGUCACAGCAAGCCGGUCAAACCAGUCCUGAUGAAUGAGGAAUGAACAUGGCCUUCUUGUGCACAAACAGAAAAGACAGAGAGCUGAAAAGUUGCACAUUUCCAUUGCUGCGAGUAUGAGCAAAUCAGCUGUGCAUCAUCUAUGGGAUUUGGGCAGAAAAUGACUGAAUAUGGAGGAUGAAGCCAGUUGAUGAAGAAAUCAAUUCAAUGGCCACCAAGUGCAGCACUGCUGCCUGAACCCAUCAGUUAUCUGCUGUGAAGACUGCAUUCGCAAACAGCUCUAUUACGACAGCUCAGAUGUUGUGGCCCAUAAAAGUAAACUUCACAACUGAACAACUGCAAGAUAGUUGUGGAGGGAUUCUUUUGGCCCAUACCUCCAACAAGAGUCAACGGUAAGUCCAGAGCAACAAUUAGAAAUAAAAAU